RNAcentral lists this ribosomal RNA (806 nucleotides) under uncultured bacterium. RNAcentral describes it as "bacterial SSU rRNA". It matches the Rfam family "Bacterial small subunit ribosomal RNA", at positions 8 to 796 of the family's 1533-position model. The record is from RNAcentral.
AGAGUUUGAUCAUGGCUCAGAAUGAACGCUGGCGGCGUGCUUAACACAUGCAAGUCGUGCGCGAAGGAGGCUUCGGCCUCUGGAGAGCGGCGAACGGGUGAGUAACACGUGGGUAAUCUGCCUGGGAGCGCGGGAUAACCUGGGGAAACUCGGGCUAAUACCGCGUACGUUGAUGGGGCUUAGGUUCUGUCAAGAAAGCUGGCCUCUAUUCAUAAGCUAGCGCUCCCAGAGGAGCCCGCGGCUGAUUAGCUAGUUGGUGAGGUAAAGGCUCACCAAGGCGACGAUCAGUAGCCGGCCUGAGAGGGUGAUCGGCCACACUGGGACUGAGACACGGCCCAGACUCCUACGGGAGGCAGCAGUGGGGAAUAUUGGACAAUGGGCGCAAGCCUGAUCCAGCAACGCCGCGUGGAGGAUGAAGGUCUUCGGAUCGUAAACUCCUGUCAGAUGGGGCGAAGGCUUGGAGGCAAAUAGUUUCCAAGCUUGACGGUACCAUCAGAGGAAGCCCCGGCUAACUCCGUGCCAGCAGCCGCGGUAAUACGGAGGGGGCGAGCGUUAUUCGGAAUUAUUGGGCGUAAAGGGCGCGUAGGCGGCCCGGUAAGUCAAGGGUGAAAUCCCUCGGCUCAACUGAGGAACUGCCUUUGAAACUGUCGGGCUUGAGGCCGGGAGAGGAGUGGAAUUCCCAGUGUAGCGGUGAAAUGCGUAGAUAUUGGGAGGAACACCAGUGGCGAAGGCGGCUACCUGGACCGGUACUGACGCUGAUGCGCGAAAGCGUGGGUAGCAAACAGGAUUAGAUACCCUAGUAGUCC